Cyprinus carpio carpio is the source of this 1639-nucleotide long non-coding RNA. NCBI's taxonomy places the organism in Eukaryota, Metazoa, Chordata, Actinopteri, Cypriniformes, Cyprinidae. The record is from Ensembl.
UUUUUAUUCUAUUCUAUUCACAUCAUGUUUCUUUUUAUUUUAUUGUAUUUAUUCUAUUUUAUUCUGUUUUAUAUUAUAUUAUAUUAUAUUAUAUUAUAUUUUAUUAUAUUAUUUUCUAUUUUCUUUUCUAUAUUUUAUAAUCUACAUUUUAUUGACGUUUAUUGCUAGUUUACAUUCAUUAUAUUUUAAUCACAUCAUAUUUCUCGAUAGUUAAUUAUAUAUUUAGGUUCUAUUUCCCAUUUUUUUCAGGUCAUGUUCAUCAACAGUCAGAUGCAGAUGAAUGAUGGGUCAGAUGGUCUGAAGGCCGUACCCAUGCUGGCCAGAAGAGCAGCGAUGGCCUGAACAUCAGCUCCAGCGAAGAUGUCCGACAGAGAGUUGACCACCGGCAGACACAGCGUGUGCACACGGAUCCUCCGCUCUCCUGCAACAGCACAGAAGAGCACAGUCAGCGUCACAUGAUCAGUCGAGCGUCACAUGACACGUCAUGUUCAGUCAGCGUCACGACACGUCACAUGAACAGUCGAGCGUCACGACACGUCACAUGAUCAGUCGAGCGUCACGACACGUCACAUGAUCAGUCGAGCGUCACGACACGUCACAUGAUCAGUCGAGCGUCACGACACGUCACAUGAUCAGUCGAGCGUCACAUGACACGUCACAUGAUCAGUCGAGCGUCACAUGACACGUCAUGUUCAGUCAGCGUCACGACACGUCACAUGAUCAGUCGAGCGUCACAUGACACGUCUGUGUCACAUGAUUAGUCGAGCGUCACAUGAUCAGUCGAGCGUCACAUGAUCAGUCGAGCCGUCACAUGACACGUCACAUGAUCAGUCGAGCGUCACAUGAUCAGUCGAGCGUCACAUGACACGUCACAUGAUCAGUCGAGCAUCACAUGAUCAGUCUGCACGUCACAUGACACAUCACAUGAUCAGUGGAGCGUCACAUGACACGUCACAUGAUCAGUCGAGCGUCACAUGAUCAGUCGAGCGUCGCGCACCUUUGCUGGCGGUGUAGAGCAGCGCGGCCUGGAAGGACACGGUCUGCAGGUCCAGCAGGUUCUCCUCGAUGCUCAUCUGCACGGCGAAGCCGGCGUCGGGGUUCACGUUGGGCAGAGACAGCAGGUCGGUGGAGCGCACGAAGAAGUUCCCGUGGAAGGUGUGUAUGGACAGACCUGCAGACGACAGAAGAACACGUCAGUGUUCAGCAGGGCUGGACUCAGACCGACGCCUCACUCCACACACCUUUAGUGCAGCGGAUCCUCAUCACGGCCUCGAAGCCGAUCUUGCGCGUCAGGUAUCUCUUCAGAUCCUUCUGGAGGCGCUCCGUCUGAGGCGGGUUGUGCUGCUUGUGGUAUGAAGGGUAGAAAUAGACGCUUCCGGCCGAGUAUCUGGAUAUACAGCCUUCAGGAGGAGACGAAGGAUCGAUCGUUAGAGUUUAUACACACACAAACAUCACUGGAUCAAUCAUGUUUUAGAGUCUCAAAUCUGAUCAUCAGGAUCUUUUGAGGAGCGUUUGUUUCCAGAAGCUUUACUUUCACUGUUCCUCAGCGGAGGAAUGAUCUUCACAAGCCUCCAGAACAUCUCACAUCUUCUGAGGAGCCUUUAUUUCUUCAUCUCUCAAUCACUGCAUUAUAUGUUUG